UACGGAGGAUGCGAGCGUUAUCCGGAUUUAUUGGGUUUAAAGGGUGCGUAGGCGGACUGUCAAGUCAGCGGUAAAAUUGAGAGGCUCAACCUCUUCCCGCCGUUGAAACUGGUGGUCUUGAGUGGAUGAGAAGUACGCGGAAUGCGUGGUGUAGCGGUGAAAUGCAUAGAUAUCACGCAGAACUCCGAUUGCGAAGGCAGCGUACCGGCAUCCAACUGACGCUGAAGCACGAAAGCGUGGGGAUCGAACAGG
RNAcentral lists this ribosomal RNA (252 nucleotides) under uncultured bacterium. RNAcentral's name for it is "partial 16S ribosomal RNA". It matches the Rfam family "Bacterial small subunit ribosomal RNA", at positions 524 to 776 of the family's 1533-position model. The record is from RNAcentral.